GGCCUUUUGGGGCUUGGCGCAGGCUAUGUUCUUACCUUGACUCUCUAGAAAGAGGAGGCAAAGCAAACCUAUGCCAUGUUCUCCUCAGUCCAGGCCCUGUGCUUGGCUUGUAUUAUGAGUUGGGAGACAUGG
RNAcentral lists this small nucleolar RNA (132 nucleotides) under Castor canadensis (American beaver). RNAcentral's name for it is "Small nucleolar RNA SNORA51 (ENSCCNG00000017045.1)". It matches the Rfam family "Small nucleolar RNA SNORA51". From Rfam's summary of the family: ACA51 is a member of the H/ACA class of snoRNA that guide the sites of modification of uridines to pseudouridines. The record is from Rfam by way of RNAcentral. Lineage: Eukaryota; Metazoa; Chordata; Mammalia; Rodentia; Castoridae.